RNAcentral lists this long non-coding RNA (23537 nucleotides) under Malus domestica (apple). RNAcentral's name for it is "long non-coding RNA (MDOM_LNC012821)". Lineage: Eukaryota; Viridiplantae; Streptophyta; Magnoliopsida; Rosales; Rosaceae. The record is from RNAcentral.
GAGCCACCUCCUCAAAUUUCAAUUUCGUUUUCUGCUAACAUGUUGAUUUCAAUGAUUCAGGCACCUACUCUAGAAUUUAAACCAUUACCGGAUCAUUUCAAGUAUCACCUUCCAUUCAAAGAUCAACUCCAUGUCAUGGGUCCUAGUAAGGAUUAAUUAGAGGUGUCGUCCAAUUGGAAGACGUUAAAGCAAGCGCUUCUUGGGAGGCAACUCAUACGGUCAAAUAAAGAUGACCUAGGACUCUUCGGCUCCAAAACCAAAUUUGCUUUCCUUAACCCUACUCUUUAUUGCUUUUUCGUUGCCAUAAUUGUCAUGUUUGUUCGCUGUGUUGUUUGAUUGCUUGCGUGUGAGUCUAUGUUUGAAACAUUGAGGACAAUGUUUGGUUUAAGUGUGUGGGGGGGGUAAACAAAGUGUUUUUCAUGAAUGUUCGUUGGGUUUCACCACCUAGCACUUCUAGAGUUGUUACUCACUGUUUUAAGUGUUUUUAUUGUGUUUUGAAGUGUUUUAAUGUGUUUUGAAAGAAAAAUACGAAAAUUUGAAAAAAAAAAUUCGAAAAAGUUUUGAAAAACCGAAAAAUAGUCGUUUUUAGAGUCGUUUUUGUGUGUUUGUGUCUUAAGGUACCUUCCAACACAAUGAUGAGGAUUUGGUUUUUAAUUGCAUGACUGUUAAAGAAAAGUACAAACAUGGAUGGAAGUUUGAUAUGCUCUUUGGUUUAUGCUUAGUUGUAGUUGACGUUUACGAAUUCACAUGGAUGGAAGUUUGAUAUGCGCUUUGGUUUUUGUAACAUGCUUGAAGGAAGGAACUCAAACUAACGCUACAACCCUGAGAGACUUGAGCCUAUUCUUUGUUUGGAGAGUUAUUAAUAUGUGAUAUUCUUGUUUUCUAAAGUCGUUGCAUGAUCUCAUUAUUUCUUUGCUUGGUUGCUACUUAGAAUGCUUUUUCAUCAUUUUAGUUCCAAAUACUAGAACUCAUGCCUGUUUCAUUCAAAGCUUAAAAUUGAUUGCAUAACGAAGACAAGAUGAAGUGUUUAGUUAAACCAGAGCCAAAAAGCCUUAUUCCCUUGCAUAUGUUUUGUAGGUUAUUUGAGCCUUAUUUAGCCUAUUUUCUUUGUUAGCAUACAUUAUCCCUACCUAGCCUAGCAUAGGACUAUCCAUACCCUUGUUUUUAAAGAAUAAUGGAGCAUGACUUAGAGGGAAUUCCUUUUGAUCGACAUUAUGUAGAAAAAUAAGUGUGGGGGAAGGUUUUUCGUUGGAAAUCUAUAAGGUUGUACGCUUAGUGUGCCAAAGAAAGAAAGAAAGAAAAAAAAGACAGAGUUGAGUAAUAAGUGAGAAUGAACCCACAAGUAUUGGUUGUUGAAGAAAGGGUCCAAAAGUUUGAAUACGACCCUAAGUGUUGUAAGAAUCUUUCCCUUGUGUUUAAAGUAAGUUGCAGCAUUCAAAAGUUGAAUUCUAAGUGUUGAUUUCAUUACUUUGCUUACUAUCACUUUGAGAACCUUUGUUUAUCCUUAACCUUUUGUUUAUUAGCCAAUAUCCUUGCCCCGUUACAACCCUUAGACUUUUAUCUUGGUUGUUAUGUGUUUCAAUAUGUGGAGUUUGAAAUUGGUACGAGCAUAUAGAAUCCCUGGUUCUCGCGUCUAAGUAGUGGCAUUCUGUUCAUGAGAUCAUAUAUACAAGCAUUAAUAAUUCCAGAAAGUGCCUGCUUUGAUUAUAACAUAUGUGAGUGUUAGUCAACAUGUUUACAUCAAUCUUCUCACAUGUACCUAUUAUAGGGAGUGUAGUUAGAAAAUCUGUGUGAAAAUAGAGAGUAUAUAUGGUGAGGAAUUGAGUGAAUUCUCUAAGGCAUGUUACUACAUUCAAAACAUUGUUUUAAUUGAUUAAAUGCGAGCUAGUGAGUGGUGCUUGCGAUUAAGUUUGAGCUCGAGGGUAAGGAUAGCUAAAAUCUGUGGAAGUAAUGAUUUUUAACAUGUCAUGUUUCAUUGGAAAUCCCUGAGGCAAACGUUGGAAGGUUUAGGUUAUGUUUUGUUUGUUUUGUUUUGCUCGAGGACUAGCAAAAGAUAAGUGUGGGGGAAUUUGAUGGGAGCAUAUUUAUGAAACUUUGUUAGCUUGUUUCUUUGCAUUUAGUGAGUUAGUUUUCGUUUAUUAUAGUGAUUUAAGCAAUUUUCGUGUGUUUGUAGGUCCAAAUGGAAAAAGUGGCAAGAAAAGGCAAUUUGGAGCAUUUUAAAACAGUUUUGGGCGUCAAAUGGACAACAAAUGAAUGGAGCAUAAUGGAUGGACGUUUUUUAAGAUCAAAAGAGGCUAGGAAUGUGCUAAAGAGUUGGAGAAAUUAAUUCAAGACUUGGAAGAUAAGGAAUUAGCUAAAAGGAAGGAACAUUAUUCAAAACCUUAUCCAGUCCUGUUUUAUCUAAACUAACCAUAUCUUAUCUUAUCCUAUCCUAAUCUUAUCCUACCUUAUUUCUAGCUACAAGGGGGACUCAUUUUCUUAUUAAACCACCUCUUAUCUGAUUUCUAGGAGUCCUAAAACAAUGCUAACAAUUAAUCCUUUUCCUUUACUACCUUGGUGUCGUGCCCUAGCCCUAUAUAUACACCUUUGUCAUAUCAUUCAGAACGACUACCAUUCAGAACGACUAUCAAUCAGAAAAAUACAUACUUGUGUCGCAGCUUUGCAAGGAAGGAGAGAAGAAGCUUGGAGCCGUGCCUACCAUUCAAGACUUUUGGAUUGCUGGAACAUUUCUAGGUGUAUUCUAUCUUUUGUUUUCAAUGUUUAAUUUUAAUUGUCUUUGUUUAAUUGUAAACAUGUGGAACUGAUUUUGUUUUAGCUAGAGGUGAAUUCAAAGCCAUGAACAUAUGUGUCAUAUGAAUUGAUUACAUCCAGUUAUUGUUCCAUAAAUCGUGAAUGUAAUUUACUUAUCUGUUUGAUUGAUAACUUAUUCGUAUGUGUUGAUUGAGGAUGCAUACUUAGUUUGCAUGCAGGGAUUUGAUGAUAGAAUAUAAGGGAAUUUCGCCUAAUAGUUAUGAACUUAUAUUUACAAGUAGUGGAGGUUGCUAGUCACGUUCGCAUUAAGUAAAUUCCUGGCAGGAGUAUCAUGUGUUUCGUAGUUACGAAUGCCAUGUCAAUGCUUAUGAUUUUCAUAGAACUUAAUGAUCUUUGAUAUGUAUCUCUAUUAUGCAGUUCAUGUAGGGAACUUGAUAAGAAUAAUUUGGUUGCGUCGCUGAGUCAAAUUCAAUGAAUUUAGGAAAAUCUGAUGGUUUGUGCAGUUCACGGUUAACUUGGGGCAUUGUCAUUCAUGGUUUAUAGGAAGAAUAAUUGAAAAUCGAUUUGUAUGCAUAUGUGUCAUGUGUGGAGAAUGACCCUCUAGCUAGUCUUUCACCCUUUCAUUCACCCUAAUUUCGUAUCAAUUAGUUUGUUUUCUGCAAGUUAAUUACUUUUAGUUUUAAAUUUCGUUCAAAACAACUCCCCAUUUAGUAUUCUGAGUCUUUUUAGUUUAGAAUUCGAUAAGGUUACGCUUUUUGUCGUUGAUGGUGUUUGAAACCUUCUUUCCAGGAUUCGAAGAUGAAGCGAAGUUGUACUCAGCUUUGGACAUAAGUUUAGUGGUGUUUGGAUCAAAACCUUCUUCGGUCCUCUUGGUUGGAAGAAUGCUUGGUUCUAUCCCCUUUGGCAAAGCUUUUAUGAAGCCUUGUGGUGGUCUUGCAACCUUAGCAUCGCCUAGCUGUGUCAAAGGAAAAACUUCAUUCGUCUUGAGCAACUUUACAUCAUCCUUAUGCAGCUGUGUGUCGGCUUUGCUUGCUCUAUUUUCGAACAAGGAUUGACCAUUCUUUCUUCUCGACACCAGGAUGUAUCAGAAAACGGGUGUGUUUGGUCCUUUUAAGGGCGUCAUGCUCCAUUUGGUUGUUGCAGGUUUAGUAGGCUCAUCAUUGUUUUUGCUUGAAGAUGGCACGGCUUCUCCUUCUUACUUCUUGGGCAUGGCUUGCCACUCCUACUUUUUAAGUGUUGCUUUGCUCGUGGAUUUGAUCUUUUUUGGAAGAGCUUCUGGCACCAUGUGUUUCUUCAUGUAGAACUUGGUGUAUGCGAAGUAUGUUUCAACUUCGGUGAAUGGCUUGGUAUCACAUUGGUGGAGGGUGGAUGACACUACUCCAUUUUCGUGGAUCCAAGGUCUUCCUAAGUGCAAGCUGUAGGAAGUUUUUGCAUCAAUCACGUGGACUAUAGUGCUUGAUUUGAGUUUACCAAUGGUCAUCUCCAUUCGAAUCAUGCUCAUUGCUCUUUGUCCUCCUUGGUUAAAACCCUAGAUCAGCAGACGACUUAGGGAUAGUUCAUCCACCUUGAUGUCGAUUGUGGUCAUUGUUGACUUUGGCAUGAUGUUUAUGGCCGAUUCAACAUCCACAAGCAUGCGGUUGACUUUGUGCUCCCUUACGUGCUCUGAGAUGAAGAGAUGACUGUUAUGAGGCUUUGAUCCUAGCAGUAAGUCUUCGUCAGUGAAGUGGAUUGCGUCAUGGGUGGCACAACAUGUGGCCAAAGCUUCAAGCCUUUGUCCUUGCUUUCUUGUACCUCAUGGUCGUCGGGACUCGCCAAAACCGAUAUUAGUGCAUUCCGCAUCUAGCCUUGCCUUUUGAGGGUUCUUCCUUUUCUACUUCGACCAUGUGACAUGUAGCCGUAGUGCAUUGUUGGAAGAAGUCAUUCGGGAAGUACUCGUGCAAGGAGACAGGAAUGCGUGGCUCUUGCUCCAUAGGUUCCCCAACAUAGGUUGGUAUAACAUCUUUUACGUUUCUUUUAGGCUUCCUACUGUUGCGGCGACGGUGCUUUCUCCCUUGUUCCACCUUUGGCCUUAUGGCUUGUGGUUUUGGUUUCCUUGUCUUUUUGUAGGUCACCAAUGUCCAUCCUUUGUCAUCGUCAGUAGGUGCAUCUUCGUUGCUUGCCCCCAGUGAUGGUUGUGUAGAAGGUGCCAUGUGAUUUGAGCAUUGAUAGAAGUGGUUAUGCGUCACUUGAAAAGGCACAAGAUUAAAGGAUCCAAACAUAAUCGUAGUGGUGUGCGUUGCGACUGUGUCUUCUAGGUUGAGUUCAAUUCACCCUUGUUGUGCCAGCUUUAUGAUGAGUUCCUUGAGGAUGAACUACUUGCCAACGGGAUGACUUACAAUACGAUGGUACUUGCAGUACCUGGGAUCGUCAAUGCAAUUCAUCUCUUCGGGACGCUUGCAUUCAAUCAGCUCUAUUACCUUCUUCUCCAAUAGGUUGUCUAACAUUGCGACCAUGUUAGAGUUCGAAAAAGGGUAUAUCUUCUGCUCCAGUUCCCUUAAGGUGCUUUUGUACCUAUCUUGGGUGCGAGGAGGCUCACCUUUUUUCAUCUCAUUCGUUUUGUUCUUGGAGGAGAUCUUGACGGGUAUAGAGGAGGUCAUGAUGGGGGUAGUGUUGAUGGUAAAAGCUUUCUUGGUGGGCUUCUUCCCAUGGUUGUCCACCUUCGGAGCAAACACCUUGUCUUUCUUGAAGUCGGUGAUUGGCUUAUUUUUUCCAUGAUGGGCGAUGCUCAACUGUCAUGGGUGCGGGUGUAACUCUUCGAAGGUCUGCAGUUUGAUGCCUUGAAGGAUGUAGUGUAAUCACCAUUACAUUCUUUGGAUGCACAUCUCGAUUGAGGAGAUCUCCAAGAGCCUGUCUUUGCAGUCGAGGCUUAGAGUGCGUCAUCGGUUGAUUAACAACUGGCUCAUCCUUCCAUUGCUUCGUACUUGUCAGCUCUAGCAUGUUUACAGUACGGUGGGUGCUAUAGAAGCAGUUCAAGAACUCCCAUUCCAAUUGCUCCCAACUGUUGAUGGACUCAAGCUCUAAGUCCGUGUACCAGUUGAAUGCAUUCCCUUUCAGAGAGCGGACAAACUGCUUUGCAAAUGAGUCUCAUUCCAUCCUUGCAUUGUUGCAAGUUUCAAUGAAAUGGGUGACGUUUUGCUUUGGGUUUCCCUUUUUCCAUCAAAAUGCAUGAACUUUGGUGGUUGAUAACCCCUCAACAUCUUCAUUGCGUCAAUCUUCUUGGAGUAGGGCUUCGAGUACAACACGGAGGUAUGUGAGCUCCCUUCGUACUACGCCUUGAUGGUGCUGGCGAUCAUCUGCUGCAGCUGUUGGAUAGAGAAAGAUCCCAUGAGUGCCGCUGCUUAGUUUUGCACCAACUUCUCUUCGACUUUCUCCACCAGAAGCUCGUAUUCUUCAUCAGCUUCUCUUUUAGCGAAUCAACCUUUGGGACGACUUUCACGUCAUGCUGCGCCUCUAGUUGGUUGACGAGUGCGGCGAUUUGCAAGUCUUUCUCCUCCAUAGUCCGUGUGAAUUUUGUGAUCGCUUCAUUCAUUUGAGCUAGCUGUUCCUCGAUUGAAGUCGCUCCGAUGGUUAUGACUUGUAUGGCUGUGCAAUUGCGCAGGUCAGCAUCGGAGAGCAUGAACUCGGAGUACUUCUUUGGACUUUCCCCCUUUGGUGCUCUUAGUGAGGCCAGGAUGAUCAGGGGUUGGUGCCACAGGUGCUCUUGUUCCUUUGGCAGAGUUGAUACAGGGGUGGAAAACACGGCGAAAAGUGUAUUGCCUUACUUCGAGUUGUGAUGCCUGAAUUGUCACCACUUACGGCAAGGGCGUUCUUGUUCUUUGCCUUGGUUGCGGGAACAACUUCAACCUUCCUUGGUACCAUUUGUGUUUUUUUGAGGAUUUGAAGAUAGAGAUGAGAGGUAGAGAUCUAUACCACCAGGCGUGCCAAAUUUGUAAACACGAAUAUUCUUACGAUGAAUGAAACAAGAACACGUGUACAAAGUAAUAUUUUGUAUUAAUUUUGGGGAUACAAUCUCUUUUACAAUUUGAUCCUCGCAUUCUAUCUUCGUAAGGUGUAGAUUUGUAGAUGGGAUGUUGAUCCAAAGGGCCGUUGGGGCUUAAUCUAGGUAUGAACAGGAUAAACGGAUCUUCAAGGGCCUUCGGAGCUUGAUCUUGAUGAACAAUUGUGUGGAUUUCUUCAAGGGGCGUUGGGCUUGAUGUUGAUGAACGGAUCUUCAAGGCCCUUCAGGGCUUGAUCUUGAUGAACAGUUGUGUGGAUUUCUUCAAGGAUUUGACGAAGAACGAAGAGAGCUUUCUUGAUCCUUCGGGAUUAUUGGGAAUUUGGGAGGUUGGAUGCUUGAAAGCUUUAGAGUUUCAAAGCUUCAAAGAUUUGGGGAAUUCUCUUCCAAUUUGGGAAUAGAGAAAUGUAUAUGUGAAUUGGUGAAAUGAAAUGAAAGGCUUGGCCUUCUAUUUAUAGAAAAUUUCAAGGCCUAAUUUUGAAUAUAAUAAUCAGAUGAAAUAAAUCAUUUCUACCAGGUAUUGACACAUGUCUUUUUUUAUGACUUUUUCGAUUUUUGUUGAGUCACACGCUGCGUGUAAAAUUUAUGUGACAUGUGAACGUUGAAAUUUUAAUGCAUUGGUCAACAUUUAUUUCAUCGAAAUUUCGAUGUCUACAACCUUCAUAUCCAUCUUUCCACUAUGCAUCUCCAUCAUCCAUGGCAGCACUUUCAAAUCCCUCCCAGAUCCAAACCCUACAAUCCCUUUAGUUGUUAGCACCAUGAAAUUUCCAUUUCUUAACCAAAUCCCACUUUCCUAGUCAAAUCCCACACACCUAAUUUGUCAAUCUUUUUUUCUUUUCGGCAUACCCAAUUUCUCACUCACACCCCCUUUUCAGCAAAACCCAUAUGCAAAUACCAUUUGUUUCGCAAAUCCCACUCUCAAAAUCCUCACUUCCCUCAUCCCAAAAAAUGUGGAAAACUAGGGCAAGAAAAAGACAAAAUUACCCUAGAGGCAUACUAAAGCUUCUACGCGCAAGUAGUGGGAAAUCAUCCCUCAAUCAAGUGAAAAUUGCCCAAAAUAGGUAUUUAUUUAUAACCUAUUACAUCCAUCCCUCAUGAUAUAUUAUCCAUAAGGUAACCCCUAAAUCAUUGCUUUUCAAUUAUAUUAAUUAGCUAAUUAAUUGAUUAAUUAUUCCAUUAAUUUGCUAAUUAAACACAAAUCAUGAACUUCACCCACAAAACCAUCCACGUGGCUGGUCCAUCUCCUCCCAAGGUGGCUAGCCACAUCCCUAUAUAAACACCUUCAUUCUCUCCAAAACUCAAUUCUAAUUCUCUUGCUAAAUUCUCAAAAUUCUCCAAACACGUUUCUUUCGAAAUUCUAACUUGGCAUCGGCAACGCAGGCCCAAGCCUCGUCCACUUGGUGCAUGACCCAAUCUACAGUCCACACUGCAAGGCAGUUGAGCUAGGCCCAGCACGAGCUGGCCCGAGCCACUACCUCAGUAGCGCAAGCCCAAACAGCUGCAGCAAGAGAAGCAGCCUAACACUUGCGGGCCCAAAGUUAGCGCGAGCCCAGCGCUCUAGAGUCGAGCCUAGGCUCAACAUGCACACACAUCGCAGCCCAUUCUCGUGGUGUCCCAAGCAGCUCAAGCCGGUCUAAUACCAGUUUAACUGUCCCGGCUAUAGAUUUCUUGACCGACGAUUGAACCGAGGGUAUUUUCAUCCCAUUUCUCCGCAGAUUUGACAUCCCAACUCAAAUUUCACGCCCGGAGUCCAUUACACUUCCACUACUCAAGGAGAUGUAUUUUGUCCAAGCUUUUCCAACCCGAAUGGUGAAUAACACUUGUCUCGAGAAGUCAUAGAGUUGACAAGCGCCUUCGCACAUCAGACAACCUUGGUGAAUCAGUUAUUGCAGCGUACCAAGAUGCAACGUCCCCUAGAUAAGGUAUCCCGAAGUAGGACAAGGGCAGACAAAGAACCUCUCCAAUAGCGUCCCAACAAGCAGCCACUUGACCAGUCACGAACCGAGUGUUUUGACAGAGUACACUCCCAACUGGGCCCCCGAGAUAGCGUAUACUCUCGUCUUAGUGCGCGGUGGAGUGUACACUCUUAUUUAAGCCCACAAACGAACAUACACUCAUGGUUGAGGCCACACUCCGAUAAUCAACAUGAGCAACCUUCCAGGAGAAGUGUUCAUUCGUAGCAAAGCCCACAAAGAGCAUCCUCCACCUCAUAUCGGAGUAGGCAACACAGCGAAUGGAGAGAAGCAGUCACUUAAUCCGGCUCAAGUUUAACCAGCAGCCUGUGAGUUACCUGCUUGCCUAUUAGGAACAUACCACAUGCACCGCAACUAUGGCAUAAACGAGCCAAACACAUGAAAAAGCAGCCUAGAUCAGCAGGUCACCACUAGGGGCAGCCGAAAGCUCUGCUACCCCAACAAAGGCAAAUUUAGAAAGAAGUUGAGAAGCCCCUGACCAAGCGAUUAUGUCAUUUCUAACGCAACAAAGCUACUGACGAGGCUCUCCGAUAAGACAUGACCAAUAUAAGUGGGUUAACUUUCAAUCACAAGAUUGAGCAGGUGGGACUAUCGCACAUAGAUUGUUGAAUACAAAAAUUACUUUUGUUCUGACAAAGGUAGCAACUCAACUUAAUGGCGUGCUGGGGACAAAUAAGUACCAAAAUGACACACCAGCCCAAUUACUAAGAACCGAGGGCAGGCCUUGUUCUCACCACUCCAGACGAUUCGAUACUGAAGUAGCACAUCAUCAAUAGCCGAGCAUUAUGGACCUAGUGGUCUAAUUCCUCUUACUACGUACAACCUGGCCCAAGCCAACCCCAACUCUACUUUCACAGUCGUGCCUACCUGUUCCACGGCUCCUGGAAGCCAUUUAUCUAUCACCAUGGCUUAGAACUGUGCCAAUCUUGCAUCACGACUCCUAGCCAUGCUAAUCUUGCCCUGUGGCUGCACCAACCAAGCCUUAAAAAGGCACAUGACGAAAAACCUAAUUAUGGCCCAAUAAUUUCAGGAGUAGCUCACUGCACUUACACCCUUACGCGGGUUCCACAAGCAGUUCGAAGUCUUAAGCAGUUCGCCAAAUAAAACCUCGUAGGCUGAGGAUUAUUUCAGUUGUCCAGCAGUCUAAUUUUCCUCAGCUGCACUCACGACAACAACUUCUAUGCUCUUCAGUGCGAGAGGGUAAACCAAUCCCACAACACCCAUCUGGUAAACUCUCCAGUGCGACAUGAUAAACUAAUUGAUCUCCAGUGCAAAAAGGUAAAUCAAUUCCCUAACAUCCAUAUGAGUAAGCUCUCUAGUGUGAGAGGUUAAACUAAUUGCUCUGCAGUGCAAGAAGGUAAACCAAUUCCCCGACACCUAUAUGGGUAAGCUCUCAAGUGUGAGAAGGUAAAUUAAUUUCUCUCCAGUGCAAGUGGGUAAACCAAUUCCUCGACACCCAUAUAGGUAAGCUCAUCACUGUGAGAGUUUAAACAAAUUGCUCUCCAGUAUAAGAGGGUAAACCAAUUUCCCGACACCCAUAUGGGUAAGCUUUCUAGCGCGAGUGGGUAAACUAAUUACUUUCCAGUGCGACAGGGUAAACCAAUUUCCCGACACCCAUAUGGGUAAGCUCUCUAGUGCAAGUGGGUAAACUAAUUGCUUUCCAGUGCGAGAGGGUAAACUAAUUGUUCUCCGGUGCGAGAAGGUAAACUAAUUCCUCGACACCCAUCUGGGUAAGCUUUCUAGAAUAAGAAGGCCAUAUAGCUCAAAAGAUUGAAUGCUUGAAGACUAACUAAGGAGCGAAUGGUUAGGGGCAGCAGCCACUUUACACUCAACAGUUUGCUCAGCUGACACUUCAACUUCAACAGCUCCAAUCUUGGCAGCUCCAUCCUUGACUGCUCCAUCUACGACAACUAAGAAAUCAAAUUCAAACAGUUUCCUCAUUUUUAGCAAGCAGCCCAAACCGUGGCCCAUGCCACACCAUUUUCUUGGCCCAUCUUGAGCCAAUCCUUGGCUUCAAUCAAGCCAAGCAGCACAAGCAAUGGCCCUUACCACACCAUCUUUUUGGCCCAUGACAAGCCGACUCUUGGCCCCUGCCAGCAGACGUGUCGCACCACCUCGAUGGCUGCCCUGUGGUAGCACUACCCAAGAAGAAACAAGGAGAAUUAAGUUUUUCUUACAUCGAUGCGAUGCGAAGAAGGCAAAUAAAUCUGCGGAAGACGGUUCUUUGCAUGGGUAAGCAAAGAAGAGUGCUAGGGGAGGGGGAACAAAUAUCCUCUAGUUUUCUCUCAUUCUCGUAAGGACAAAUAAUCGCCCUUCGAAUUUGAUUUAAUCCCUUACUUAAGGUAGGCUUAAAUAGGCUUUGGAGGCAAUUUAUUUCUCUUUCCUAGAAGAAUCUAAUUCCAAGUCCAAGUGAGAAUUUGCAUCAAAGCUGGAGAUCUCUACACAUGCUACCCUUUCUUGCGAGCAGCAAGUGUGGGGGCAUUUGUGGAGCCAAAAAUAAUCGAGAAAAAUAUGGAGGCGACACAUGGAUUAUAGGGUAAGAAGAAGAUAAAAUUACCCUCGCGGCACACUGAAGCUUCUACGGGCAAGUAGUGGGAAAUCAUCCCUCAAUCAAGUCAAAAGUGCCCAAAAUAGUUAUUUAUUUAUAACCUAUUUCAUCAAUCCCUCAUCAUAUCUUCUCCAGAAGGUAACCCGUAAAUCAUUCCUUUUAUUUUUAUUAUAAUAAUUAGCUAAUUAAUUGAUUAAUUAUUCAAUUAAUUUGCCAAUUAAACACAAAUCAUGAACUUCACCCACAAAACUAUCCAAGUGGCCAAUCCAUCUCCUCCCAAGGUGGCCGGCCACAUCCCUAUAGAAACACCCUCAUUCUCUCCAAAACUCAAUUCCAAUUCUCUUGCUAAGUUCUCAAAAUUCUCCGAACACUUUUAUCUCAAAAUUCUAACUUUGGCAUCGGAGGUUUUCGCCCCCUCCCCCCCAAUUCAUCAUGGGCGUGUGAGGCUCUUGGCCUUCAUCUAAGGUGUUAUUUGUUUUUUAGGUGCAAUUUUGUCCAAGAACAAGGAGAAAGAAAUUUGCAUCCACAAGAAUGACCCAUAAGGACCCCAACAUCUCACACACCAUAUACAACCACCCUCUCAUGAUCUCAUCCACUCUAUCCAUCCCAAUCCCUCAUUCUUCUUUGUCAGAUUUGAUGACAACGCCGCCGCCACCAUCUCACCAAGAUUCACAUCAUCGACUUCAAAAUCUUACAGGGGUCUAAUGGGCGACAUUGUUGCAGGCCAUAGCAACCCGCUCCAUUGUUGUGAAAUGGGAUUGAGAAGAGGAAGGAAGUUAUCUGGUGUGGCAUUGAAGCAAAGAGGGUGCGGUGGGGUUCUGAAGUGGAUGGUGGAGAUGGUUUCUCAGAGGUGAAGAUGAGGUAGAAGAAGAGGUAGAAUGAGAUGAUAGAAAGGAAAAGCAAGAGAGAUGGUGAGAAGAACGUGGUGGAGCAUAGUAGAUUCGACCAUUUUUAUGUUGCUGGCUGAGAGAGAGAGAGGAAUGUGAGCAGUGGGUCGGGAAAGAUGAAAAUUACACAGAGUAUACUUUUAAUAAUUAAUUUUAUAUUGAGACAACUUUUUUUCUCUAGAGUGUAAGUUACAAAUAUACCCUUUAUAGUGGUAAGGUGACUUUAUUAAAACUCAAGUAUUAUAUUUCCAAUCCCAACUUAUAAAAAUGUUCUACAUUAUUCCCCUUAAGCCCUUAAUCAAACUUUGUUUUGGUCGGAACCCUUAAUCAAACUAAAAAUAAAAUAAAAAUCACAAAAGCAAAGAAACUUGCACACGACAAUAAUCUCCACCCUCUUGGCGGUCGUCGAGUCUUCAGCACCCACAGUGUCGUUUUCUCUCUCAAUUCUCUCUCUCUCUAGAAAAGAAAAAGGAAAGGUCAAAUUUUAUUCCCAGCCACUCUAAUUGAUCAAUUUGUGGCCUACCUUCAAAACCCUAAUGUUGAACUGAUAAAUGAUAAAAGAAGUAGUCGCCAUGCAAGAUGACCAAGUGCUACACUAGACGCUUUGCUGGGAUUAUCACAUAAUCAAUGCUUUCUCUCUCUCUCUCUCUCUCUCUCUCUCUCUCUCUCUCUCAAACAACCAUGGGAUCUACAGUUGCUACAAUGGUUGGUGGUGGUUGGGUUUUCUAUGUUGUAAUUUUUUACAUAACAAUUUUCUUUCUACACCAAACAUUUUUUAGGGUGAAACAAGACGUUUGUAAGAUAAAAAAUUUAAGUUGGCUGUGGAAAGAUAAUUAUUGUGUUCGAAUAUAAUGUUUCCUUCACAAUUGUAUCUCUUCACCUAUUACUCAUUUCUCUCUUCAAGAAAUAUUAGGCCGAAGGUGAAGUUGGAGUGGAGCUUGAAAGACUGGCAAUCGGCGAGAAGCCUCUCAGAUAUAGUUCAAUUUCAUUCUGAUUUCUCUCGUUUUUCAUUGAUUCGAUGUCGGGGUCAUGUUGCAUGUGCAAAUUCCUAAAUUUUUGUACUUUACUUUCUUUCUCACUUUCUCAGCAGUCAAACAUAGCACAAACAAAAAAACCAGAAAGGAAAAGCAAAACGCACAUUUGGAUGAGCAAUCUAAAAGCCCUUAAAGGAGUCCCAAUGAAAGGGGUGAACACCGAACUGAAGCACGGCGAACUUCUUAACCGAGUCUUUGACCUUGAAGUAGCAGACGUUGGGGCGAUUGAACUGAUUCUGCAAAAAUGGUUAAGGACGGGUUGAACUGAUUAUGCAACAAUGGUCGGCAAUGAGUUGAAUUGAUUCUGCAAAAAUGGUUAAGGAUGGGUUGAACUGAUUAUGCAAUAAUAGUUGAGGACAGGUUGAAUUGAUUCUGCAAAAAUGAUCAAUGAAAUGUUGAACUGAUUCUGCAAAAAUGGCCGAUGACGGGUUAAACUGAUUAUGCAAAAAUGGUCGAGGAUGGGUUGAACUGAUUCUACACAAUGAUCGAGCACGGGUUGAACUGGUUCUGCAGAAAUGGUGAAAUGAUUUUGCAAAAAUGGUUGAAGAUAGGUUGAACUGAUUCUGUAAAAAAGGUCGAGGAUAGGUUGAAUUGGUUCUGCAACAAUGGUCGAGGACGGGUUGAACUAAUUCUGCAAAAAUGGUCGAGGACGGGUUGGAUUGGUUCUGCAAAAAUGGUCGAGACGGUUUGAACUGAUUCUGCAACAAUGGUUGACGACAAAUUAAACUGAUUUCGUAAAAAUAGAGCAAAAAUGGUCGAGAACUGGUUGAACUGAUUCUGCAAAAAUGGCUGAGUACGGGUUGAACUAAUUCUGCAAAAAUGAUCGAGGACAGAUUGAACUGGUUCUAGUAAUAAAGGAUACAAAUUGAUUUUACAUAUAGUUUCAAAACUGAUUCUGUAUAAAUAGUCGAGGAUGAGUUGAGUUUAUGUUACAUAUUAAUUUUGCUGGAAUUGUGAGGGUUGUGUUCUAUUAACAGCCCCAAACCCUUAGGGGUAUGAUAGGUAUUUACAGCAUUGUUCCAUGUUAUUGGGUUGGGCUUUAAUUGUUUUUAUGCUUUUGUCUCCUUGACAUGUUUAAAAACUAUUAGAGUUCCUUGAAAUAUAACGAAAGUUUUUGUCUCUAUAUAUAAAGCACCCAAUUGAAUAAUUAAAAUUUUAUUUUAAUAAUUUAUUUCUGUCUACAUGGUACAAUGAUUGCCACAUCAGCAAAAAUAUGAGGACCUAUAGUAGCCACAUCAUCACUUAAUAGUCAAAUUGACGGUUUGACUAAUAGAUAUAUGAAAUUGCAAGUAAAUACGAGUUUAUGUAUGAAAUUGAAAUGUUUUAAAGAUAUUGUAUGAGAUUGCAAUUGCCCCCAGACUUAAGGGCGUAAAAUGUAAUUUACCCUAAUUUUUUUCAAACCAAAAUAUUAUAGGAAAAAUUACACUUAGAGUAUACUUUCAAUACUUAAUUAUAUAUUAAAACAAAACUUUUAAAACAUUUCAAGGAGACAUUUUUAAAACCCGUGUAAGAUGACAUCAUGUCCUAUUUUUCCAUUAGAAACGUAGUUACUUAUUUACCCUUCCCUUUUCUGUUAAAUGUGAUCGGCGGAGAUUGAUGGAAAUAUAGCUUCAAAUUUACUCUCUUCUAUUUGAAUAAUUGAAUUUCUAUUUUCAUUUCUCUGCUAUUUUUCUUCAUCUCUGAAGUUUGUCUCUCAAAUUUAUUCGAAGGUAAGUUGUUCUUUUGGUUUUAUAUUUAAAUUUUCUUUUUGCAAGUUUAUCUGCUCCAAUUUUGAAUGAGUUGUGUGUUUUUGAAUUUAUUUUGGUUUAGAUUUUGAAAACGAGUCUCUAAUUUUUCAGUUUUUUAUUAUUCGCAUUGAGCUUCUUUUGAUUGUUUUUGUUUUUUGCAAGCACGCUUUUUAAUUUUUGAAGAUUUUGAUUCAGUUUUUAUUGAUCGAGUGUUGGUGAAGGUGAUUUUCUGUUUUGCCGUUUUCGUCUUCAUUGAGUUGCUUUUGUUUUUUACAUUAUAGUUAUCUAUAUUAGUUAGAAUACGAAUGGCUUAUGAAUUAGUUUAGUAUUUAAACUUUUUUUAAUAAUAUUUAUGCAGCAUAAGCUUAUAGAAUCAUGCAAAAUCAGUUGGCAUAAAUUUUGAAGGGGGGUUGGGGGGAAUCCCCCCUCGUCCUCCAAUAAACAUUUAAUAAUUUUCAACUUAAUACUUGUGCUGACACACCCCGACCGAGAUCAAGGCAUGCUGGCUGUCACGUGAGGGUGAUGUAGUCAUGUGCACAGUGCGGAGGCAAUAAAGAUAAGAAAUAUAUGAAUAAUUAAAGACCGAAAUUACUAGGGUGCACCAGUAAACAGGAAGUGUUAGGAGUAAAAUACAAAAGUUAAUACUCCUAAUCAGAGCAUAGAAAGUCUAGGUGAAGUCUGAUAGGGAUUUUACUACACAUUUGAACGGGCUAAAAACUCCUAUUAUACUUGCAAAAAUCACAAGGUUGUUGUAGUAUAAACGAAUCUCGCAACGUCGUUCUCUACAGGGAUUAUUAAAUAAUUCAGAGAAAACCAAAUUCCAAUUAAUUAUUGUAAAGUAGAAAUUGAGAUGAUUGAUUUUAUAACCUACUUAAAUUAAAAACGAAUUUCACUAUUAAAGAUAAGACAAUCUGCAAUAUUGAAAACUAGAAGGAAAAGAAAACAGUUUUGGGAGAAAUCAAAUUAAGAAAGCACUAGGGUUCCACCAUCACCUAGCAAUCCUAUGAACUUUUACCAAAUACUUAUGAUCUACACAUGCCACUUUGAAGGUUAGGUUUUCCUAAUUUAUAUUCUACUUGGAACCUCCAACAUAGAACGUAUAUCUAACUUGUAACCCGUCCGGAUGUUCGGAUCAAAUCUGAACAUAAAAGACUCAUUAUGCUUUAUGAAAACCCUGUAAAAAAUCAUGCAAUCCUUAAGACGUGGUGUUCAUCCUAAGUGAAAUUACAAUUAUUUAUCACAAGAAGCUAGGGUCAAUUUCAAGGAACCUUCCGACCAAAAUUGAAUCAAAUUACUUUUCUAAAGAUCCUAAUGGUGAUCAAGCAUUAAGACAAUUAUUAAUCCCGGUGAUUAAUAAUUCAAAGUAUGCAUGCAAUCAAUCAUAAGCAAUUAAAUAAAAAUCACGUAUUCAUGCUAAGGCUAAGGUUUCGCCCUAGCAAAAAAAAUUAGUUAUGCAUAUUCAUAAUUAAAAUCAUAGAAAAAUAUUAUUAAGAAAAGGAUUGAAAACACCUUCAAGUAGAAAAUCUCCAAAACCCUAGCAAUUCUCUUUGUCUCCAAAAUUACAUAAAAUAAAGCGUAGUGAAAAAUUGUACACAACCAAGCAAUAUAUCUGCUAAGCCUCCACAUAAACCCUAAAAACGGGUCCUUUAUUCCCACUAGGAAACUAAAAAUAAUAAUCAAAUAAAAUAGGAAACAUAACCCGAAAUUAAAUGGUAAAAUUCGCCUAAAAUUUGAUCAGCCACGUUUUAGACCCAUAAGCUGCUCCAAAACUGGCCCAAUAUAGCUGUAUUCAAUGUUUGGAAUAUUCUGAACACUUCUCUAGAAGGCCACGAACCAAUCCGAGGUCAUCUUGGGCUCCAAAAACGCAAUUCAGCCCAGAAACGUCAUUUUCCAGCACCACGCAUUGCUCCUUUAUUUUAUCACCGGAAAAUAACCGCUUGGUGGAAAAAUCCCAAAUUUUGAUACGAUCAAGCUAAGUGACGCACGAAUGUCCUCCAACUGAAAUUACUCCAAAAUUCGUCAAUUUGGUCCUGUUUUGCUCCAGAGGAAUUUGAAAGUCCUAUAUUGAAAAUACAAUUCAAAGUAUCAAAAUUCUUCCAAAAUAGUAACCAAAAUAUGCUAAGACUCAAACAAGACUCAAACAAAAAUAAAAACUUAACAAACUUGACAACUAGCUAAAACUCAACCAAGACAAAACUUCCACCUUCAAGUUGCAAUCCAUAGCAAAUUUUAAAAACUAGAACAUCUUUUCAAAAGUUCCAACUAAUCCCAACACAGAGUCUAAACCAUUUAGAAUCAAUUAGAAAAGAAUUCACAAACUUCCUUUGGUGUAAAGUGAACCAACGUAGUUAAGGAGACUCGACUAAAAGUCUUACCUUUCGUCCUUCUUUAUUUCAUACAUACUAACUUUGAAUAUAACUAUCUUUCUUUUUCUUUUUCAAUUUUUUUUUCAGUAACAGUAGUGGUUGUGCAAUGUCGGUUCACUUAAACUUUCGACCCAUGUAGUGAGCUUUAGGUCAAUGACUCCCAAACCACUAGGGCUUUAGGGCACUAGGUGUAGAACACCCCUAAAGACUUAUUAACCUGAGCUGAAAAGGCUACAAAACCAACUGACCACCCUGCCCCAUGCCAAAACUCUACCGUUUGACGCGAGAAUCAUUGCUGAUUAGGCAGGACUGGCCUGGUUACUAGGCAAAAUCUCGGGUGAGACAAUUAUUACUUUAUAACACAAUAAUAACUGACUUUACUUAAAUAAAAAAUGUAAAAUAAACUUAGACUAAAAGUAAGUGUUUCAAUCUCACUCCCCACAAACCAUGUUGGUGUGAUGUGCAAAGGUCAAAGUAUAAUUCAUGAAUUAGUGUCUAAGUAACGAUAAAUAGAAAAGACUCUACUGUGGGAUUAAUUGUCACAGCCCGUUCCAAAUUAUUAUAUUCGUGGCUGUGAAUGGACGAAAUUGCCCUUAAGAAAUACUAAGUUUGUGAAGCUCAGGUUGCUAAUUAUCUAGGUUCCGAAGUUUUGAAAAUAAAAUGGAAUUUAAUAAGGAUGGAACUUAGAUUUUUAGGUUAAAAUGUUAAAGUUUGGUGUUUGGAGAUGGGAAUAAGGACCACGUGGGAUCCCCACAUCCCUCAAAACCCUCCUCAUUUCCCGUUCACUGUCUUUCUCUCUCCUCCUUCACGAUUUCUCACUCUCUCUCUGUCUCUCUCCUUCGAACUCACACGGACCACCACCAAAACCACCCUAAAUCUAUACCAAUGUCAAGUUUGAGACCACAAUUGGAAUCCUGAGGACUUCACGAUCACGUUGGUAUCCAUUUCAGGUAAGUUUUACUUCGGAAAACCUAGAUUCUAAACUCCCCAUGAAAGUGUACUGUUCAUGAGCUUUGAAUUGGUUGAUUUUUAGGACAAUCCAAGCUCAUAGUGAGCUUAGUGAGGUCCCAAGGAAGCUCGGAGUGCUUCGUUGGAAGUUUUUGGACGUAAGAACACGGAGAUCGAUAAGUUCAAAGUUUGGCCGGAGCUUUCGAGGCAUUUUCCGGCGAAUCCCCGGCGAGUUAGGCGUCGAGGUAGGUAUCAAUCUCUUCGUCUCGUCAAGUACUACAACUUUCCUUUUUGUUUCACUCAAUUUCGUUGAGUAUUGAAGAAGUUAUACUCAUUUGAAAAAUACCCAGUUUCCGGCGACCUCCGAGGCUUUCGAGGCAGUUUCCGGCCAAACUACGGCGAACUAGGUGUUGGGAAAGGUACCAUUCUCUCUUUGUCUCUUCAAGGGCUACAACUUUCGUUUUUGAAUCACUUGAUUUCGUUGAGAAAUGACAAAGUUAUGGCAAUUUGAAAAAACUGCCCAGAAAACGGCCGCCGGAAAAACCAGUCCGGCGACCCAAGGAAGAAGAAGGUGCUACAGUAAAAAUAAAAAAUAAAAAUAAAAUUAUUUUAAAAAUAUGUCGACGUCCGUGACGUCGAGUAGAUCACUGUGGUAUAUUCAUAUACCUAAAUUGAACACCGUAUGAGAAAGUUAUUGAAGAUUGUUGGUUAGGUGUUCAAAUAACGUUUUAUAGUUUUCACAUUUAGGUGAAAAUGUGAAUUGAUGAUCCGACCGUUGGAUCGUCACCAAACUUUGAUACGUUGUAAUACGUAAUAUUUGAGGAUUAUUGGAACUUACGGAUUGGGAAUCCGAGUUACGGAUCUUCCGGAAUUGGAAUUGUAAGUCCAUAAUAUAAAAUGUUAACCGUCACUUAGUUUUUGGAAAUUGACGGAGAUCCGACCGUUGGAUGGUAAUGAAAUUUUAGGAUGUUGUCCUAGAGGUAUAAUGUGGACCUCUGGAAGUUAUGGAUUUAAAAUCUGAGGGGUGGAUCUUCCGGAUCAAUCUACGUAGUGACGUAUUUUAUAUAAGUUAUAUAUUCUAUCGAUAUGAAUUCUGAGGUUGGAAUUGAUUAUUGUUUUAGGCGCCGAUCGUCAUGACGCCUUGGCGUAUUGUGCUAGGGAGUUGUAGGGCGAACUCCAGGUGAGUGGGCAGUUUUGUUUUCCGUAUAUAUAUAUAUACUUAACGUUUUUCCCAGAAAUUGAAAAUGCAUGAAAUUAUGUUUAAAAUGAAAUGCAUAUGAGUUAUGUGAAAAAAAACGGGAAGUGAAAUACCAUGCAUAGAAUUGAUAUGAAAAGUAUAUAGAAAUGUGAGUUGAAAUGCCAUACAUGAAUUAAUAUAUGAUGCAUAUGUAUGAAUUGGUGCGGUGGACGCACAGGUAAGAAUUGAUUUAUGAUGCAUAUGUAUGAAAUGGUGCGGUGGACGCACAGAUGAGUAUUUAAUUACUGUUAUGAUGAUGAUGAUAUAUAUUGAGCUCAAAUCCUGCACCAUGGUUUAGUGCUUAUAGUAUUCACCGCAUCGCACGCUCGCCUUGGAUCCAAGUAGAUGCUAGUCGUACAGUCCACGCGGAGUGGGUACGACAGACCAGUCGCGAGAGUGUUAGUGAGAUUCCGACUGGUGGGUGACCUUAGAUUAUGUGCACAGAUGAUUUAUGAGAAGCACUAGAGCGUAACUUGUGUGCAGAAGGCCGGACGGGUCACAGAGGUGACUCCGGUAGAGUGAUAAUGAUAGAUUUUGAGCUCUAGGUUCAACCGUAUAGGGCUAUUAGAGGGCCUACGGUUGAUUACUUUCUUGCACCUGAUAUGAUUAUGUUGAUGCAUUCAUACCUUAUUACUGUUGAGAUGAUGUGGCAUGGCAUAAUUAAUAUGAGAAAUGUUGAGAUGACAUGGCAUGGCAUGAUUGAUAAAGAGAUAAUGUUUGAGAUAGUAAAAAUGAAGUUUUGAGAAUAUAUAUGUAUAUUUAUAUUUUACAUUUCUGGGAAAGUAUACAGGUUUUACGGAGAGGGGUUACAACGUUUUGAGAAAUGUUUGGAUUUGGAAAAGAAUUGUUUUACUGACCCACUCAAUUUUGGUUUUGCGCCCCUCCAGGUUCAGGAAUCACAAAGGUGUGGUGACUACGAGGAAUUCGACGGUGUUCUGACAGAUUGGACAAAAUUAGGACUCACCUUCGGGUGUAUCAAUUUAAAUUGUAUCUUAAAGCUUCCGUACUGUGCAAAUGGUUACGUCACUCUCACGUGACGGCCAGCAUGCCCUCCUUCGGGACGGGGUGUGUCAGUUGGUAUCAGAGCAUGGUUGCAAUCUUGGACAUCUUGAGAAGUUUCUAGUGAAUUCUGUCAGAACUACACCGCCUCGUAGCAAACCACGUAGUUAGAGGAAUUUAGUCUCCCUGAUUUAGCGGUUUAGAGGAAACUAUUAUUAUGGUGAUUCAGUAUAUUAUCAAAAUGGACAUUUUAAGACGGGUUAUGAGUUGAAUUUGAAUCACCUUAUGGAAUGAUGAACCUGAGGGAGCGAAGUAACGGUUUAACCAUUUGGAAAAGAUGUUUCAGAUUAUGCAAGUUAAAGGAAAUUUCCUUCUGACAAGGGGUCGAGACGACUACCUGGUUUUGGGUAUGAAUUUGUAUCCUGGUGGAAACAUGAUUGUUAAUUGUUGUCACCGGAGGAAACAGCUGAUUGAGAAUUAUUUAAGGACUUGUUUAAGGAAAAGUUUAUCCCUCCGGCAUUUAUCGAUGGUAGUAAGCAAGAGUUUGCAAAUGUGAAUCAAGGAAGUUGACGAUAAAUGAAUAUUAUAGAAAGUUUUCAGACUUGCCUCGUUCCAUCCAGAUAUUUGAGACAAGGUGUCUCGAGUAAAGGAAAUGUACCUUGUGCAGCAGGUACAAAAUUAACACUUUGGGAAGUGUGAAAUUAAUAAAUGUGUUUAUGUGAACAGAGGGAACGCAGAAUUGUGAAUUGUCCCUAGAAUCAGUUGUACUCAACAAUUUUCCAUGAUAUCAUAGUGUCGAUUCAGCAGAGUUAUGGACUUAGUAGUUUGGUCGGAUUGACCGUGAGUACAGAGAGAUUUGAUGAGUUAUAUGUUCAGCCGUACAGACCAUGAGAAAUGGAUUCGACUGACACAUGAGAAAUUGGUGAGUUAUAGGUUCGGCCGUACCGACCACGCGGAGUGGAUCCGGCCGACGUAUUAUUGAGAUAAGAGUUGAAUCAGCCGUAUUGAUCAUUCUAGUUGACUUCGGCUGAUAUAUUUCUUAUUAUGUAUGUUAUUACCUAGAGAGUAGUAAAUAAAUGUAGUUGAGACGAGUGUAUGUAUUUUGCAUUGAGUGACAAAAUAGUAAUGUUAUAUCUUUGAGAGUGGUUGCCUACUUAUCGAGACAACGAUGAUUUAUCAGUAUUGCGGGCUGCAGACCGUAAUAUUAAUAACUCAUUCGUGGAUUCGUUAAGCAAGCAACCCGGUAGAUUAUUUUAUGUUAGUAUUGUACUUAUUUAGAAUGCUUAAUAAUAAUAGAAUAUAUAUUGUAUCAGUUAAUUUUGUUCCAUUAGAUUGGUUGGUUAUAAUUGUGACAAGACGGAAUGUUACGGGAAACCAGUAUUUUCCAUCGAUCUGGAUGACCAAAGAUUACUUUUGUAAGUAUGCAAAGUGGAUUGAGUCAGGCCGUUAUUUAUACUGUAAGAGCAAAGAGAUUGUUUUCGAAAGGCUGUCAAAAAUACUUAGCUCAUGUGGUGCUAAAUGAUGUUGUUUGGAGUAGUGUGAAUAAUGUCGAAAGGGUUAGAUUUUCUUGAUGUCUUCCCUGAAAGUAUACCUGGAUUGCCUUCAGGCAGAGAUAUGAGGUUCACUAUUGAUUUGUUGCCAGGUAUAAAUUUAUGUUAAAGAUUGGUUCAUGAUGAGUUAAGGGAAUUGGAAAUUCAGUUGAAAGAAUUGGUUGAUAAAAAUUUUAUUCAACCUAGUACAACGCUUUGGGGGAGCCCCAGUUCGUUGGUAAGGAAGAAAAUGGGCUUUAAGACUAUCCAUUGAUUAUAGACAAUGGAAUCGGGUAACGAUUGGGACCGUUAUCCAUCGUGAUGUACUGAUGUUUAUUUAACCAGCUCAGAAGUAAUUGCGAAGAUUCAAAGAUUGAAUUGAGAUCUGGUUACUACCAAUUGAAUAUUAUAAGUGACGUUGAUCAUAAGAUGGUUUUCUGGACUUGUUAUAGUCUUUAUGAAGUUUGGUGAUGCUAUAUGGAUACUCAUGCUGUUUUAUGAGUUGAUGGAUGAAGUAUUCCAAUAAUGCUUUGAUAAUUGAUAUCAUUUUCGUUGAAGAUAUUCUGGCAUAUUCUGAGCAAGAGCAGAGCAUGUAAACGUAUUAAGUCGGUGGAACAAAGAUUGGAAGAAUGUCGAUUGUAUGCUAAGUUUAGCAAAUGCGAAAGUUAGAUGAAUCAGGUGGCAUUCUGAGAUUGGUUAUAUCUGCUUAAGGUAUUCAAAUGAAUUCUUAAAAGGCAGCAGAAUUGAGAAAUUGGAACAACCACAAGCCAUAAUUGAGAUUCGGAAAUUCUUAACUUAUCAGGCUAUUUUGGAUGGUUGUGAAAGAAUUUUUAGUCAUUGCUUUAUCAUUGACAAGACUGUUGAGAAAGGAGGUUAUGUAUGAGUGGGAAGGAAAUUGUGAGCAAAGGAUUCAACAACUGGAGUAUUUCCUCACUCAUGCACGUAUUUUAGUAAUCCUAGAAGAUAGUGGUAAUUAUUGGUUUAUGGUGAUGGUACAUUAAAUAUUCUUGGAGAUGUAUUGAUGCAAAUGUUAGGGUGAUUGAAUAUGUUUCACGACAAAUGGAACCUAAUGAGAUGAAUUACCCUACUGGUGACUUGGAAGUCACGAUUAUCAUCCUUGCUGUGAAGUUGUGGAGACAUUAUAUGUUGAUAAGAAUGCAAGAUUUUACAAAUCAAAAGAGUCUCCAAUAUUUGUUUAUUCGGAAGGAUUUUGAUAUGAGGCAACAAAGGUGGAUUGAAUUACUUAGUGAUUAUGAUGGUACGAUCAGGGUGAUCGUGAAUUGUUGUAGCUGAAGCACUUGGUGAGAAGACUACGGUAUGAUUAAUGUCUGGCACGUUUGCCAAGAGUAUCAUCUUGUGGAUUGAAAACCAACGGAAGAAAAAUUAAGAAUGGAAGAUCGAGAAGAAGUUAUACUUGUUCAAUUUCAAGUUAGGCCUGUUUGGUAAGGUCGUACUCGAAACUUAAAUGUUUGACGAGGAAUUUAAGAAUUAACCAAGGCAAGGAA